This 170-nucleotide ribosomal RNA is filed under the name Melanocetus johnsonii (humpback anglerfish). RNAcentral's name for it is "partial small subunit ribosomal RNA". Lineage: Eukaryota; Metazoa; Chordata; Actinopteri; Lophiiformes; Melanocetidae. The record is from RNAcentral.
CACCGCGGUUAUACGGGAUGGCCCAAAUUGACAGGUAUCGGCGUAAAGGGUGGUUAUGAUUUUAAUAAGAUAAAGACAAAUGCCUUCAGAGCUGUGCUACGCAAUUGAAGGUGAGGAAGCCCGACUACGAAAGUGACUUUAAAAAUUCCGACCCCACGAAAGCUGAGACC